GUAGACAAUGUGAUAGCUAACUCUCAAUCAUAGUCAACUUGGACCCACUACUCUAAUUCCACAACUUUCACAUAGGGACGUUAUCCUUACCCUUAUAGAACUCCCCACUGCCGGUCAUAGCUCUGAGCAAAAAUGCACAGUCAACAUUGUACACAGGCUUCCAUUUUAUGUGAUGGUAAGACAAGUAAUGAUUAUUUAGCUAAAAUUGUCAAUAGUGAAACAUUUUUAUAUUGACUGAUUGUGUGUCCCCCUUUUUCCCAUAUUGUAAUUCUUUAUAUGUUUCCCCUUUUGUUUUGUGUUGAUCUCUCAAUGUACUUGUUUUUUUAUUUGUAUGUUACUUAUGAUUAUGAAAAAUGAUAACUAAAGAAUACCUAAAAUAAAAGAGAUGUGAGAAAGGAAAUUAACUGUGGGCCAUUGGAUGAGAUACACAUGAAAUAAAUGGAGAGACAUGGAGUGAUACAACAAUAUGGAAUGAUGGCUGGGGACAUGAACUGUGGGAUAACAAAUGAG
This is a non-coding RNA of Pelobates cultripes (western spadefoot toad), 510 nucleotides long. NCBI's taxonomy places the organism in Eukaryota, Metazoa, Chordata, Amphibia, Anura, Pelobatidae. The record is from the annotation of a GenBank genome assembly.